RNAcentral lists this transfer RNA (77 nucleotides) under Chloroflexota bacterium. RNAcentral's name for it is "tRNA-Pro". It matches the Rfam family "tRNA". Rfam says of the family: Transfer RNA (tRNA) molecules are approximately 80 nucleotides in length. Their secondary structure includes four short double-helical elements and three loops (D, anti-codon, and T loops). Further hydrogen bonds mediate the characteristic L-shaped molecular structure. tRNAs have two regions of fundamental functional importance: the anti-codon, which is responsible for specific mRNA codon recognition, and the 3' end, to which the tRNAs corresponding amino acid is attached (by aminoacyl-tRNA synthetases). tRNAs cope with the degeneracy of the genetic code in two manners: having more than one tRNA (with a specific anti-codon) for a particular amino acid; and 'wobble' base-pairing, i.e. permitting non-standard base-pairing at the 3rd anti-codon position. Lineage: Bacteria; Bacillati; Chloroflexota. The record is from RNAcentral.
CGGGGUGUAGCGCAGCCUGGUAGCGCGCCGCUUUUGGGGAGCGGAAGCCGAGGGUUCGAAUCCCUCCACCCCGACCA